UACGUAGGGACCAAGCGUUGUUCGGAUUUACUGGGCGUAAAGGGCGCGUAGGCGGCAAUUCAAGUCAGCUGUGAAAUCUCCGGGCUUAACUCGGAACGGUCAGCUGAUACUGCUUUGCUAGAGUGCAGAAGGGGCAAUCGGAAUUCUUGGUGUAGCGGUGAAAUGCGUAGAUAUCAAGAGGAACACCUAUUGCGAAGGCAGCUCGCUGGGACGUUACUGACGCUGAGACGCGAAAGCGUGGGGAGCAAACAGG
This 253-nucleotide ribosomal RNA is filed under the name uncultured bacterium. Its description in RNAcentral is "partial 16S ribosomal RNA". It matches the Rfam family "Bacterial small subunit ribosomal RNA", at positions 524 to 776 of the family's 1533-position model. The record is from RNAcentral.